AAAAUGCGAUAAUUAAUGUGAAUUGCAGAAUUCAGUGAAUCAUCGAGUCUUUGAACGCACAUUGCGCCCCCUGGUAUUCCGGGGGGCAUGCCUGUCCGAGCGUCAUUGCUGCCCUCAAGCACGGCUUGUGUGUUGGGCUUCCGUCCCUGGCAACGGGGACGGGCCCAAAAGGCAGUGGCUGCACCAUGUCCGGUCCUCGAGCGUAUGGGGCUUUGUCACCCGCUCCCGUAGGUCCAGCUGGCAGCUAGCCUCGCAACCAAUCUUUUUAACCAGGUUGACCUCGGAUCAGGUAGGGAUACCCGCUGAACUUAAGC
Molecule: unclassified non-coding RNA, 314 nt
Filed under: plant metagenome
Description: partial contains 5.8S ribosomal RNA, internal transcribed spacer 2, and large subunit ribosomal RNA
Rfam family: 5.8S ribosomal RNA (bases 1-105)
Source: RNAcentral